GUUCUGGGCCGCACGCGCGCUACACUGACGGAGCCAGCGAGUAUUAACCUUGGCCGAGAGGUCUGGGAAAUCUUGUGAAACUCCGUCGUGCUGGGGAUAGAGCAUUGUAAUUAUUGCUCUUCAACGAGGAAUUCCUAGUAAGCGCAAGUCAUCAGCUUGCGUUGAUUACGUCCCUGCCCUUUGUACACACCGCCCGUCGCUACUACCGAUUGAAUGGCUUAGUGAGGCUUCCGGAUUGGUUUAAAGAAGGGGGCAACUCCAUCUUGGAACCGAAAAGCUAGUCAAACUUGGUCAUUUAGAGGAAGUAAAAGUCGUAACAAGGUUUCCGUAGGUGAACCUGCGGAAGGAUCAUUACAGUAUUCUUUUUGCCAGCGCUUAAUUGCGCGGCGAAAAAACCUUACACACUAUGUUUUUUGUUAUUACAAGAACUAUUGCUUUGGUCUGUCUCUAGAAAUAGAGUUGGGCCAGAGGUUUAACUAAACUUCAAUUUUAUAUUGAAUUGUUUCUAAUUUAAAAUGUCAAUUUGUUGAUUAAUUUCAAAAAAUCUUCAAAACUUUCAACAACGGAUCUCUUGGUUCUCGCAUCGAUGAAGAACGCAGCGAAAUGCGAUAAGUAAUAUGAAUUGCAGAUUUUCGUGAAUCAUCGAAUCUUUGAACGCACAUUGCGCCCUCUGGUAUUCCAGAAGGCAUGCCUGUUUGAGCGUCAUUUCUCUCUCAAACCCUUGGGUUUGGUAUUGAGUGAUACUCUUAGUCGAACUAGGCGUUUGCUUGAAAUGUAUCGGCAUGAGUAGUACUGAAUAGUGCUUCAAGACUUUUUCAAUGGAUUAGGGUUAUCCCACUCCGUUGAAGGGUUAAUAGUAAAUUUUUGGGAUUAUUGGCUCGGCCUUCCAUACAACAACAAGUUUGACCUCAAAUCAGGAGGACUACCCCUGACUUAAGCUUUCAUAACGGAGGAAAGAACCAC
This 963-nucleotide ribosomal RNA is filed under the name Saccharomycetales sp. LM310. Its description in RNAcentral is "eukaryotic LSU rRNA". The stretch from base 1 to 354 matches the Rfam family "Eukaryotic small subunit ribosomal RNA", at positions 1479 to 1831 of the family's 1831-position model. The record is from RNAcentral. Lineage: Eukaryota; Fungi; Ascomycota; Saccharomycetes; Saccharomycetales.